Molecule: ribosomal RNA, 608 nt
Filed under: Leucosporidium scottii
Lineage: Eukaryota; Fungi; Basidiomycota; Microbotryomycetes; Leucosporidiales; Leucosporidiaceae
Description: eukaryotic LSU rRNA
Rfam family: 5.8S ribosomal RNA (bases 181-334)
Source: RNAcentral
UCCCUAGGUGAACCUGCGGAAGGAUCAUUAGUGAAAAUUAGCGCAUCUACUUGUAGAGCGUGACCUCCACUUUCUAACUCUGUGCAUUUAUUGGCGGAAGGACUUGAGCAAAUGAGUUUCCUUCUGCGGCUCAUUUUAAAACACUAGUUAAAGUAUGUAACGAAAAAUCGAAACAAAAAAAACUUUCAACAACGGAUCUCUUGGCUUGCUCAUCGAUGAAGAACGCAGCGAAAAGUGAUAAGUAAAGUGAAAUGCAGAAAUCAGUGAAACAUCGAAACUUUGAACGCACCUUGCGCUCUCUGGUAUUCCCGAGAGCAUGUCUGUUUGAGUGUCAUGAACUCUUCAACCCACCAGUUUCUUGUAGACUGAAAGGUGUUUGGUUUUUGAGCGUUGCUGGUCUUCGGAUCUAGCUCGUUCGUAAUAUAUUAGCAUCUCUAAAUCGAACUCGGAUUGACUCAGUGUAAAAGACUAUUCGCUGAGGACACGCUCUUGUAGUGUGGCCCAAAGAGAUCUCAGUAGAAGCUUCCAACUACUUUAGUCAACUUUAGAUUAGACCUCAGAUCAGGCAGGAUUACCCCCUGAACUUAAGCAUAUCAAAAAGCGGAGGA